This 2245-nucleotide long non-coding RNA is filed under the name Equus asinus (donkey). RNAcentral's name for it is "lncRNA (ENSEASG00005036404.1)". Lineage: Eukaryota; Metazoa; Chordata; Mammalia; Perissodactyla; Equidae. The record is from RNAcentral.
CACCUCUCCAGCUGCCACAUCUAAGUUGGAGGGGGGCUAGUCCCCCCGGGGAGGGCCAACUCCACUGUGCCUGCUCCUCCUGGCCAGUGCUGGUCCCCUGUCAGCCCCACAGCACCCAGUCUGUUCGUCAUCAGCUCUGGGGAGAAAGUCCAAACUCCUUCCGCGGACACCGAGUCCUACGUGAUCUGGCUCCUGUCAACCUCUCCAGCCUCAGCUGACACCCUCGCCCAGACACGUGCCCCACGUGUUUCUCAGAAGACUCCUUCCAACCUCAGGGCCUUUGCACCUCCUGUUGGCCUCUCCUGGAAGGUCUUUUCUAGCCUGGUCAAUCCUCACCCCACUCUGUUCCUAGCCCUGUUGUCUCUCUCAGGGGGCUUUUCCCGACAUCGCCGGACUGGUCAGUGAGUGGCAGGACGUUUGGUCACCUGCUUGUUCGCUCAUCUCCCCACCAGAUCAUCAUCUCCUCAGGGGCAAAACCUGUGUCUUUUCCUCCGCCAGCAUAAGCCCACCUCUUAGGAAAGCACCUGGUGCAUGAAUUCCUGCGGAUUGAGUCAUCGAAGAGCAGGGACCCCUGCCCAGAGGUCACAGCCAUUUGACGGGGAAGCGGCAUGGAGCUGAAUUCCACGGCACAUUCCUGUGUGUGACCUAGAUGACCCACGUCCCCUCGCUGGCCUCAGCUUCUCUGCCUGGGAAAUGAGGCACUGGGCUCCCGGGACAGCCCUCUGAGCAGAGCACUCUGAGCCCAGGCUCUCAGUGGGGCACAGGGAUCCCAGAGGAAGAUCCGCUCCUGCCCCCAGGCUGCCCACACUGAUCAAAUGGAGGUGGAGGGGGCAGGGCCAGGAGGAGGAGAAAGGCCACGGGGCCUGGAGGCAGGUCUGGAAUCCUCGACAGCCAGUGGCGAACAAACCCAUCCUUGUACCGACUUGUGAGCAGAGCGGAGCCAGGCCCAGCCUACUGAUGUCUCAGCCUCAGUGCCUCGGAUUCAAGCGUUCAAAGGUCAUCGCCUGUAGUGCAGGAAUUGUCCCGCGGUGAGGAUGGCGGGGGCCCUGCUCCUGCAGCAGACAGCUCAGCAACUCUCCUCUCCAGGCCCAGACAGCCAGGCUGCUCCUCCCACUCCAGCCAUGCACCGAACACGUGGAGCCUCCAAGGCCCUGCCCGGACCUGACUCUGCCCGCUGGCGGCCCCCAGCGCUGCAGAGGGCGGGUAGCUCUCCACUCAGUCCAAGGAGCCCAGAGCCUGUCAGGUCCUGCUGGAUGCGGCCCUGGAGCAAGGCGGGGAUCUCGUCUAUUCAGGCAGGCGUGCCCUUGUUCCAGCCAGCUCCUUAGCCCAGCGCUCAUCCCAGUGCCUCCAUUCCCUCAUUGGACUGACCCUUUCUGAAAAUGUGCAAACAGCACUGGGUCAUGGCAGACAACUUGGAAAUACAGAUAAGGAGCAAUCUCAUUAUCCCCCUAUCCAGUGAUGCUGCUGAGGAAGAUGACAGUCAUGAAGACGGCGAUGAUGAAGAUGAUAAUGACGAUGGUGAAGAUAAUGAUAAUGGUGAUGAAGAUGGCAUGAUGAAGAUGAUAAUGACGAUGGUGGUGAUGAUGAAGAUGAUGACGAAGAUGGCAAUGGCAAUGAUGGUGACGGUAAUGAUGGCGAUGAAGAUGAUGGUGAUCAAGAUGAUGGUGAUGAUUAAGAUGGUGAUGAUGAAGAGGGCAAUGGUGAUGAAGAUGAUGGAGAUAUUGAUGAAGACGAUGCCAACAACUAACCAGAAGCCAGCUGUGGUUCAGUUUGGUCUCAACUUAGGGUGGUAUCAAAGGAGGCCAAGUAGGUCUCGUUUCCUCAAAAACCAAAGCCACUCUCAAAGAAGGCUGUCUUGUGUUUGGGGAUAGAAUUGGGCAAAAUCAGGAAAAUAGGCUGCAGGCGGUGUGCUGCCAUCACAUUGCCUGUCUCGACCCCCGCUGCCCCUUGAUUUGCUCCUCUGUACAUGUGGCUAAUAAGACUACCUGCCUCGGAGGGUGAUGCGAAGAUUAAUUUUACAGAAAGCGCUGAGCACCGGCCUGGCAUCUGGUCAGGAUGUAAUAAAUCGCAGCUUUUAUGAUUAUCAUGUUCAUUCCCAUCUGUCCAUCCUCUCCAGCUUGCCCCCUCUCUGCCCCUGGUGCUACUUCUCCCUUCUUCCCCUGGGCUGUCCUGUCACCUUGGCCCUGAGCCAAUGGGGCCUCUAAGCUGCUUUGUAAGAUCCUCAUGGGUUCUGCCUGCGGUCCAG